GUCUACGGCCAUACCACCCUGAACGCGCCCGAUCUCGUCUGAUCUCAGAAGCUAAGCAGGGUUGGGCCUGGUUAGUACUUGGAUGGGAGACCGCCUGGGAAUACCAGAUGCUGCAGGCU
RNAcentral lists this ribosomal RNA (119 nucleotides) under Vulpes vulpes (red fox). Lineage: Eukaryota; Metazoa; Chordata; Mammalia; Carnivora; Canidae. The record is from RNAcentral.